AUUGAACGCUGGCGGCAGGCCUAACACAUGCAAGUCGAGCGGAUGAAGGGAGCUUGCUCCUGGAUUCAGCGGCGGACGGGUGAGUAAUGCCUAGGAAUCUGCCUGGUAGUGGGGGAUAACGUCCGGAAACGGGCGCUAAUACCGCAUACGUCCUGAGGGAGAAAGUGGGGGAUCUUCGGACCUCACGCUAUCAGAUGAGCCUAGGUCGGAUUAGCUAGUUGGUGGGGUAAAGGCCUACCAAGGCGACGAUCCGUAACUGGUCUGAGAGGAUGAUCAGUCACACUGGAACUGAGACACGGUCCAGACUCCUACGGGAGGCAGCAGUGGGGAAUAUUCGACAAUGGGCGAAAGCCUGAUCCAGCCAUGCCGCGUGUGUGAAGAAGGUCUUCGGAUUGUAAAGCACUUUAAGUUGGGAAGAAGGGCAGUAAGUUAAUACCUUGCUGUCUUGACGUUACCAACAGAAUAAGCACCGGCUAACUUCGUG
Molecule: ribosomal RNA, 484 nt
Filed under: uncultured bacterium
Lineage: Bacteria
Description: partial 16S ribosomal RNA
Rfam family: Bacterial small subunit ribosomal RNA
Source: RNAcentral